GGACCCAUGGCUUAGCUGGUAAAGCGUCGGAUUCCAGUCCCGAAGAUCACCCGUUCGAAUCGGGUUGGGUUCA
Non-coding RNA from Xylaria acuta, 73 nucleotides. The record is from the annotation of a GenBank genome assembly. NCBI's taxonomy places the organism in Eukaryota, Fungi, Ascomycota, Sordariomycetes, Xylariales, Xylariaceae.